UACUUCCUCUGCUGUGUCUGUUCGCAGGUCAUUGACAGCCAGGAUCUGAUCCCCCUUAUGGAGUAGACAUGUGACCUCAGUCUGCUUGCAUUCAGAUACACUGAAGAGGAAGAACAUGAAACAUGGUCAGGAUCUGAUCCCCCUUAUGAAACAACUGUGAGGUCUCAAUCUGCUUACAUUCAGACACACUGGAGAGGAAGAAGAUGAGAGAUGAAGAACAAUGAUUAACUUCAUUUAUUGUCAUUGAGGGCCAGGAUCUGAUCCCCCUUAUGAAACAAAUGUGAGGUCUCAGUCUUACACUCAGACACACUGGAGAGGAAGAAGAUGAAAGAUGAAGAAGAAUGAUAAACUUCAUUUAUUGUAAGUAUUUCUCAUGUCUAUUA
Non-coding RNA from Misgurnus anguillicaudatus (oriental weatherfish), 383 nucleotides. The record is from RefSeq and is a predicted model, not a curated record. Lineage: Eukaryota; Metazoa; Chordata; Actinopteri; Cypriniformes; Cobitidae.